RNAcentral lists this long non-coding RNA (253 nucleotides) under Gallus gallus (chicken). Its description in RNAcentral is "long non-coding RNA NONGGAT004455". Lineage: Eukaryota; Metazoa; Chordata; Aves; Galliformes; Phasianidae. The record is from RNAcentral.
AAGGCUAAGGUGUGUUUGCCUUUGAGAGAAAAGAGCCAGACGGGACUGAGAGGUAAAGAAAAAAGCAUCAUAUGAGACACCAUGAAGAAAAUCAGCUCUGUCCCAGAUGAAAUCAGGACAAUGGGAUCCAGCCCUAUGGCAGACCACAACCCACGAGCACCCAGUACUGCCAAGCACCAGAAUUGUAAAUCUCUUGAAAAGCUGUUUUUCAAAAUGCUCCAGUCCAUCCUAUUACAUUAGAAUAUUAGUUUUC